CCUACGGGUGGCUGCAGUGGGGAAUAUUGGGCAAUGGAGGCAACUCUGACCCAGCAACGCCGCGUGAGUGAUGAAGGUCUUCGGAUUGUAAAACUCUUUAAGUGGGGACGAAGAAAGUGACUGUACCCACAGAAUAAGCCUCGGCUAACUACGUACCAGCAGCCGCGGUAAUACGUAGGAGGCAAGCGUUAUCGGGAAUGACGGGGCGUAAAGGGUGCGUAGGUGGUUUGGCAAGUUAGUAGCGUAAUUCCGGGGCUCAACCCCGUCGUGCCGUUGAAACUGGCGUUCUUGAGUGAGCGAGAGGUAUGCGGAAUGCGUGGUGUAGCGGUGAAAUGCAUAGAUAUCACGCAGAACUCCGGUGGCGAAGGCAGCAUACCGGCGCUCAACUGACGCUCAUGCACGAAAGCGUGGGUAGCGAACAGGAUUAGAUACCCGGGUAGUC
RNAcentral lists this ribosomal RNA (442 nucleotides) under uncultured bacterium. Its description in RNAcentral is "partial 16S ribosomal RNA". It matches the Rfam family "Bacterial small subunit ribosomal RNA", at positions 338 to 795 of the family's 1533-position model. The record is from RNAcentral.